Molecule: ribosomal RNA, 253 nt
Filed under: uncultured bacterium
Lineage: Bacteria
Description: partial 16S ribosomal RNA
Rfam family: Bacterial small subunit ribosomal RNA
Source: RNAcentral
UACGGGGGGGGCGAGCGUUGUUCGGAAUUAUUGGGCGUAAAGGGCGCGUAGGCGGGUCUUUAAGUCAGGGGUGAAAUCCUGGAGCUCAACUCCAGAACUGCCUUUGAUACUGGCGACCUUGAGUCCGGGAGAGGUGAGUGGAACUGCGAGUGUAGAGGUGAAAUUCGUAGAUAUUCGCAAGAACACCAGUGGCGAAGGCGGCUCACUGGCCCGGUACUGACGCUGAGGUGCGAAAGCGUGGGGAGCAAACAGG